Molecule: non-coding RNA, 69 nt
Organism: Sarcophilus harrisii (Tasmanian devil)
Lineage: Eukaryota; Metazoa; Chordata; Mammalia; Dasyuromorphia; Dasyuridae
Source: Rfam
GGUAAAAUGGCCAAGGAUAAGCAUUGAAUUGUAAAUUCAAAGACAGAGACUAGAUAUCUCCUUUUACCA